CCUACGGGAGGCAGCAGUGGGGAAUCUUGCGCAAUGGGCGAAAGCCUGACGCAGCCAUGCCGCGUGAAUGAUGAAGGUCUUAGGAUUGUAAAAUUCUUUCACCGGGGGACGAUAAUGACGGUACCCGGAGAAGAAGCCCCGGCUAACUUCGUGCCAGCAGCCGCGGUAAUACGAAGGGGGCUAGCGUUGCUCGGAAUUACUGGGCGUAAAGGGAGCGUAGGCGGAUAGUUUAGUCAGAGGUGAAAGCCCAGGGCUCAACCUUGGAAUUGCCUUUGAUACUGGCUAUCUUGAGUAUGGGAGAGGUUAGCGGAACUCCGAGUGUAGAGGUGAAAUUCGUAGAUAUUCGGAAGAACACCAGUGGCGAAGGCGGCUAACUGGCCCAUUACUGACGCUGAGGCUCGAAAGCGUGGGGAGCAAACAGGAUUAGAUACCCUGGUAGUCCACGCCGUAAACGAUGAGUGCUAGUUGUCGGCAUGCAUGCAUGUCGGUGACGCAGCUAACGCAUUAAGCACUCCGCCUGGGGGAGGUACGGUCGCGAGAGUAAACUAACUAAUAGUUAGUUAGUAGNGUUGAGAGNGCGAGGACGACGACGAGGGAGAGG
This 601-nucleotide ribosomal RNA is filed under the name uncultured bacterium. Its description in RNAcentral is "bacterial SSU rRNA". The stretch from base 1 to 518 matches the Rfam family "Bacterial small subunit ribosomal RNA", at positions 338 to 873 of the family's 1533-position model. The record is from RNAcentral.